GAUGAACGCUGGCGGCGUGCCUAAUACAUGCAAGUCGAGCGAACAGACGAGGAGCUUGCUCCUCUGACGUUAGCGGCGGACGGGUGAGUAACACGUGGAUAACCUACCUAUAAGACUGGGAUAACUUCGGGAAACCGGAGCUAAUACCGGAUAAUAUAUUGAACCGCAUGGUUCAAUAGUGAAAGACGGUUUUGCUGUCACUUAUAGAUGGAUCCGCGCCGCAUUAGCUAGUUGGUAAGGUAACGGCUUACCAAGGCAACGAUGCGUAGCCGACCUGAGAGGGUGAUCGGCCCCACUGGAAGUGAGACACGGUCCAGACUCCUACGGGAGGCAGCAGGAGGGAAUCUUCCGCAAUGGGCGAAAGCCUGACGGAGCAACGCCGCGUGAGUGAUGAAGGUCUUCGGAUCGUAAAACUCUGUUAUUAGGGAAGAACAAAUGUGUAAGUAACUAUGCACGUCUUGACGGUACCUAAGCAGAAAGUCACGGCUAACUACGU
Molecule: ribosomal RNA, 496 nt
Filed under: uncultured bacterium
Lineage: Bacteria
Description: partial 16S ribosomal RNA
Rfam family: Bacterial small subunit ribosomal RNA
Source: RNAcentral